This 4973-nucleotide long non-coding RNA is filed under the name Onthophagus taurus. Its description in RNAcentral is "uncharacterized LOC111417716". The record is from RNAcentral. Lineage: Eukaryota; Metazoa; Arthropoda; Insecta; Coleoptera; Scarabaeidae.
AGACGCAUUCUACUUUCCAUUCCAUUCCAUUCAAAGACAUUCAGAGUACUGAUUUAGAGUACGGUUGGUCUCAAAGAAGCUUGUUUUGUAGUGUUAACAGUUUUACCAAAAACAACGUUGUAGAAAUGUCCAAAGAUUUAUUGGUUAUGAAUUAUCAUCGAAUAAACACAAAAGAAGGCAGAUUUUCAAUUCUCCAUUUCGAAGGUGAUUAAGAACAAGUUAUUGGCAUGGAGCGGCAGUGAUUUCUCCAACAAAAUGGCGCGCCAGCACACUAUGCCGUUCCUGUUCGAGCUUAUUUCAAUCAACGGAUUGUGGGAGAAGAGAGCCAAUUGAGACCAAUUGAUCACCAGAUUUGACUACGCCGGACUUCUUCCUUUAGGAAUAUCUGAAUAGAGCUUUACACCAUUGGACCAAAUACUUUGGGUGAACAAAAAAUCAGAAUCCGAGAAGUUCAGCGAAUAAUUUUUGAUACCUUAGGGAAUUGUCAAGAAGAAUUUAAAAAUCGUUUAAAUGCUGCCCAAGGUGACGCCAACCCUCUAAAAGUACAGAUAAUACCGAUUUGUCUCAGUUGUGCGCCAGUUAACCCUGCACUGAAAUAAAAAAUCACCUUCAAGAAAGUUAAACAACUAUGGUUUUCCUAUAGUCUAACUUUUGAACACAAUUCCUCAGUUUAACAGCUUGCGUGCAAAUUUCAUGGAUUUAAGAUGCUCAAUCAUUGUCAAACUAAAAUGGAGCCAUUACAUCGAUAGUGAAUAUUUUGUCUCAUAUUCAAUGGAGCUUUCUUCAGUGGGUCUGUCAAAUUAACUUCGAAACAUGCUUAAUUGAUGCUGAACUUGACUUUCUACUGUCACAUGUGGGUUAUUAUCAGACCAACAUAAAUUUUUAUAUUGUUUUCACAAUGUCCUGCUGAGAUAUCGUAAUGAUUUCAUAUUUGUGAUAUGUCAUUAGGAACCAGUCUUUUAUGGCUGUGCAAUGGAUAGGUACGCAAACGUUCUUCCAAGAAUAAUUGCCAGAAAGUUUGAAUAAUUCUUUGUGGAACGUAUGUGUACGUGCAACUUCUACAUUUUGGGAUCUGCUUUUUUGAUUAAAAUUCCUGAAAUGUAACUCUCAAUUAUAAGUCUGCUUUUUUUUCUGUACACUGGAACUCAAACAUUAAUAAUAUAAGUUUCUCCCAAUGUUUUGAAUGUUAAGAAUGUCAUGAUGUUCUCAUGCUUAAGUCAUGAUGCUCAAUGUCUAUAAUAAUUAUUUGAAAAGGACUCAUCUUGACGAAAGAGGUUGAGAUGAGAUACACAGACUUGUUCUCUAUAACUGCAAUAGUUUCAGAUUCCGAUUUUUUGUUGAAAGUUAAGAUUAUUUUUUUAUACAGUUGUAGUGUACCCAGGUUAUGUCAGAAAAACAUUAACUAUUAUAGUCGACAUUAUCAAAAACCAACAACAAUUAAGAACAAUGAAAAACUUUAACUAUCCAAUUGCCUUUGCUCUGAAUAAUAUCAUUUACAUGUAUAGUUAUGAUUACAAAUUAUGUCGAUCAAAAUACAAUAAAAUAUGUGAUAAUCUUUAAUACCACCAUACAAAAAACAUAAAAAAAUGUAUUAUACAGUGGUUCCAAGUCAAACUCGAACAUUGCAGCUUUUAUUACUAAAAAUGUUCAAGUUAAAACAGUUAAAAAAAAAAAGUAAAUUGAAACACUAAUGAAGUUCAACCUAUUUGUUAUUUCUUUGUUGUUUUUUUUUGUUCACCAACCUGUCUUCUGUUUUAUAAAGCGUUGUACCUAAGUGUGGGAUGCUUUAAACAGUGCAGAUAUAAUUUUUUUCGUUUCUUGGGCUAUACUAGUUCUUUCUUGGUAAUAGCGCAAGCCGGAUUUCGCCCGUUUUUUUUCUGAAUACACUUCCUGUAUUCAUGCCCUUCCUGUGCGCUGUAUCCACAUAGUUUGUUAUUUUUGCAUUUGCUCUGAAUAUGGCCAUAUCUCUCUUUCUUGGUAAUAACAAAUUCGCUAAUUUCUGAUAAUUUUUCUUUGUAUGUCCCUUUCUCCUCAAUGUAUUUUGAAUUAUAACCAAAGUCCAUUAUACUAGUUGAUUAAGAAAAAAUAAAUUUGCAAACUGUUAUGUACUUUAACUAGUCUUUAAUUGUUGAUUAGGUAGUUAGUCUGACUAAAUAUCAAUAAUUGACAAGACGUUCAACGUUCUGUGUCUACAUAUGAAGUCAGUUUAUAUAGACACGAUUAGUUUCCUUCAAUAUAUUCUACCCAUCUUUGGAAUUGUUUCUUUGACGCUAUUUUUUGUGUCUAUUUUGCAUGGUUUUUAGUUUGGAGUAUCCUUUCUUGCCAUUUAUCCAGAACUUAAUUAGACCAUUUAUGGUUAAUGGUGAAUGUGCAUGUUUUGAACAUGCACCUCCCUUCUGACCACUGCCGAGUCAAACACAAUACUGUUCACCUACGAAGAUAAAAUUAAAGACUUGCAAAAACGAUUAUAAAUAUAAAGUGUGUUGAUUUUCACCUCCAGCGAGGCAACUUUCCGCUCUAAAUUGAGCACCCUUCCGACAUUAAUAAGAAUUACCACCGAAUAAUUCACUAUGUCUUUUAAAUUUGUUUUCUAAUAAUAUAUCAUUAAAAUUUAUAGUUAGAAGCGAUAAUGUUUGUGCUGAAACAUAUAUUUCCUCGGUCAUUAUACAGAUAUCUAAUCUUUUCAAUGAAUGACAAUAAACUGAAUCAAAAAAUUAAAUAAUUCUUGUAAAUAUGUAAUUCAGGUUUUAAUAAAAUUUGAGAUAACAUAAACUCAAUAUAUAAAAUAUACAUAUAAUAUACAAUAUAAUUCAGAGAAUACCAUUACAUUUAUCAAUCAUCUAAAUUAGAUAUAAUCCGCUCUAUAGGAGCCAAAGUUAGUUGCAAUUCAGUUAUAAAAUACUUUAUCUUUUUUAGUUGCGGUGAAUCUUCAGAGGUAGUAAGUACACAACUGAAUUUUCUUCUAAUCACUACAUUGCCACAAACAGAUUUUUGUAAAUGUUUCAAAGAUGUACUUAAAUUGUAUUUUAUGGAUUCAAUUUCAUGUUUAAAUACUUAUUAUUAUACGUAUUACAUUCUCUUGUUCGUCACUGAAAAUGGUUAACAGGGCGGAUUGCAUUCCUAGGAUAUACAUCUUGUUUUCAAAUUUUAACAAAUUUUGUAGAAUAGUUGGAGUUUGUGAUAUACGACCACAAUUAAUUGCUUUUGUUUCAUUACAAGGAGGUUGAAUGCAGAUAUUUUUAAUAAUAUUAACUUUAGAACUAGAUCCCCCAACGUUUGCCGACGAAUGUGGUUGUAUAUCAGUAGAUUUUACCCCACUAAUAAUUAAUAUUAUUUGAUGUAAAAUUUUUCACAUUUUCCUGGCUCGCAACUCUGUGUCAUGUAUCUUCCAAUGGGGCAUUUCUUCCUCCGUGUUGCUUAUAUUGAUUUUGUUAAUCUGGAAAACCCUAUUCUGGAGUGUCUACGAAUGGGUUUUAAGAAUCUCCUGUUUCCAUUUCACUUCACAUUCUUGAGAAAUUUGAAUGAGAUGUGGUCUCAUUAUUACUCGAUUUUCUUCUCUUCGCAUCUUGUUGCGAUGUGUUCUUCCGUUUCUGGAUUGAUGGCAAUAUUCGUUUGUCGAUUUGGAGACUACAUUGUCCGUUUUGGUAUCGGUGUUUUUUGAUUCUGGAAAGAGCGUCGGCGUUACUAUUCAGGUUUCGUUUUUUAUAUACGAUCUUUAAGUUAUAUUCCUCUAACUUGAUUCUCCAUCGCAUGAACUUUGAGGCAUUAAAUCUACUCGCAAGAAAUUUAGAUAACAUGCUGCUGUAAGAUUUUUUUGAAAAAAGAAAGGCCCUAUGGAACGCCGUCCGAUUAUUUCCAUCCAUACAUUCACUUUGCCUCGACGUUGACUGUGGGUCUUGAGUCCAGUGAGGAUUUCCUCGUGACUAAUAUCUGGGGUUGUGACGAUGUACUGUUCCAUUCAGGCAAAAAGUGGCUUCAGCAGAAAAUAGAAUGUUGUUAAGAAAAUUAGGAUCUUCAUCGCAUCGUAACAUUAAUUGUUCACAAAAUUGUAAAUCGAUCUGAAUCAUCCUCGUGUAACUCAUGUAUCAAUUACGCUUUGUACGGAUGAUACUUCUCUUCUUUGAAUAAUUUUACCACAAAAGAUUGGUCCACGUUGUUAUUUAGGGCUAGUUGCCUUGUAGAAUGGCGAGGAUUUUCUUCAGCUUUAACCAAUACAUUCAACCUGACUUCUUCACUUACUCGAGGUCGACCUUGUCGAGGCAAAUCUUUUACGGAUCUCGUUUCUGUGAAUUUAGCAAUCAAUUUACUUACUGUAGAUGUUACAAUUGGAGCCCUAUCCGGAUGUUGUUGGUUAAAUAACUCGCAUGCUUCUUGAUGAGUUCUAAGCCUGUCGCCAUAUCCAACCAUCAUUAAUAUCAAUAUUCUUUCACGUUCGGUUAAAUGUGCCAUUUUUGUUAACUUGGAAUAGAAUUACUUUAAGAAGUUCUACACUUUCACCACUACGAGUAUUAAGAACUUGAUAAUAAGCAAACACAACUUUAAUUAUUUUAUUAAUUGAAAUAAAUUGACCUGUCCGAGCGUUUUUCUUGAAAAUAUUAAAUAACGCAGUUAGGAAUUAUGUUCAAAACUUUAUCAUCACACGGUAUACUAUGGGAUACCGUUUAUGUAAACAGGUUUUUAAGUAAUAUCGAUUGAAAGAAGCGUAGAAGUUUUCCUUAUGAUAAUAUAUGGGAUACAUUUAAUACUAAAAUAAGAAUAAUAUAAAAUUAACUUAUGACUAACUAAAAUUAUUGAUUUGAUCACUGAAAAAAUGAAAAUGUGAAAUUAUAUAAAAGUAAAUAAAAAUCAAUAACUUACAAUAAAUCCUCCAGACGCUAUUCCUCAAACGUCGGUGAUGCUAGGAGCAUCACUGAAAAAGUGAAAAUGUAAAAUCCACUGUUUCAAAGUAAAUAAAAAAUCAAUAACUUACAACA